AACGAACGCUGGCGGCAUGCCUAACACAUGCAAGUCGAACGAGACCUUCGGGUCUAGUGGCGCACGGGUGCGUAACGCGUGGGAACCUGCCCUUAGGUCCGGAAUAACUCCCCGAAAGGGGUGCUAAUACCGGAUAAUGUCUUCGGACCAAAGAUUUAUCGCCUUUGGAUGGGCCCGCGUUGGAUUAGCUAGUUGGUAGGGUAAAAGCCUACCAAGGCGACGAUCCAUAGCUGGUCUGAGAGGAUGAUCAGCCACACUGGGACUGAGACACGGCCCAGACUCCUACGGGAGGCAGCAGUGGGGAAUAUUGGACAAUGGGCGAAAGCCUGAUCCAGCAAUGCCGCGUGAGCGAUGAAGGCCUUAGGGUUGUAAAGCUCUUUUACCCGGGAUGAUAAUGACAGUACCGGGAGAAUAAGCUCCGGCUAACUCCGU
RNAcentral lists this ribosomal RNA (432 nucleotides) under uncultured bacterium. RNAcentral describes it as "partial 16S ribosomal RNA". It matches the Rfam family "Bacterial small subunit ribosomal RNA", at positions 29 to 506 of the family's 1533-position model. The record is from RNAcentral.